UACGUAGGGUGCAAGCGUUAUUCGGAUUCACUGGGCGUAAAGGGUCCGCAGGGGGUUUGCCAAGUCUGAUGUGAAAGCCCGCCGCUCAACGGCGGAACGGCAUUGGAUACUGGUGAACUAGAGUGCACGAGGGGUGAACGGAAUUCCUGGUGUAGCGGUGGAAUGCGCAGAUAUCAGGAGGAACACCGAUGGCGAAGGCGGUUCACUGGCGUGCAACUGACCCUCAGGGACGAAAGCGUGGGUAG
Molecule: ribosomal RNA, 245 nt
Filed under: uncultured bacterium
Lineage: Bacteria
Description: partial 16S ribosomal RNA
Rfam family: Bacterial small subunit ribosomal RNA
Source: RNAcentral